AACUGAAGAGGAUACCUAAGUGGAACCACUCUAUAGCGAGACCAAAACCAUCUUGUAUAUCAGGUGUAUUUAUGUUCAAAUGUACUUUUUGAUUUAUUAAGCUCUGAUAUUAUGAAAGCAAAAUGUGAAUGUUCAUGCUUCAAUGUUUUACUCUCUAUUGGGUAUGUGCUAUUAACUGGCAUGAAGUUGGCUUUGCCAAUUAACAAGGAGUUAAAGAUCGUGCUCUGAGCUAGUACUAGCCCGAGUGUAGUGCGCACAGAAGUAAGAACUGGGUAGAACUUGGCCAGGUUCCUCAGUUCUGAUGAAGGGAAUCGUAUGUGGAUGAAAUUUCCUCGACGAUCAUACAGUUAUUGUAUGCUUUUGAUGUAUGAUUUGUACUUUCAAAGCUUCAUAUGCAUACUGUUAAGCAUGAAACAUUUUAUUAUACGGUUCUUUUCAAAUAUUUUAUAAACGGCAAUAGCACACUGAGUACGAUAGUGCUCAGCCAAGUCUUUUUAAAAUGUUUGCAGGUUGAGCGGCGGAUGUGGAGUGUGGUGCUGAGAUGAAGAUCCUUUUUACUAUUGUAUAUAACUAGUUCCUUUAAUGGAACAACUCUUUUGUGUAUCUCCACCCGCUUCCUAUUUUGUAAAUCAUAACGACUCUUGUACGCUUUGCUAAUGUAAAUUAAUGUUAUCUUACACUUUGGGUUCAGACCAUUCUCUACUCAGUUAAAUUCGGUUUACAUUCACUUCUAGUUAUU
This 739-nucleotide long non-coding RNA is filed under the name Salvia miltiorrhiza (redroot sage). RNAcentral describes it as "long non-coding RNA (SMIL_LNC007185)". The record is from RNAcentral. Lineage: Eukaryota; Viridiplantae; Streptophyta; Magnoliopsida; Lamiales; Lamiaceae.